This 468-nucleotide ribosomal RNA is filed under the name uncultured bacterium. RNAcentral describes it as "partial 16S ribosomal RNA". It matches the Rfam family "Bacterial small subunit ribosomal RNA", at positions 28 to 507 of the family's 1533-position model. The record is from RNAcentral.
GACGAACGCUGGCGGCGUGCUUAACACAUGCAAGUUGAACGGAAAGGCCCUGCUUUUGUGGGGUGCUCGAGUGGCGAACGGGUGAGUAACACGUGAGUAACCUGCCCUUGACUUUGGGAUAGCUUCAGGAAACUGGGGCUAAUACCGGAUAGGAGCUCCUGCUGCAUGGUGGGGGUUGGAAAGUUUCGGCGGUUGGGGAUGGACUCGCGGCUUAUCAGCUUGUUGGUGGGGUAGUGGCUUACCAAGGCUUUGACGGGUAGCCGGCCUGAGAGGGUGACCGGCCACAUUGGGACUGAGAUACGGCCCAGACUCCUACGGGAGGCAGCAGUGGGGAAUAUUGCACAAUGGGCGGAAGCCUGAUGCAGCAACGCCGCGUGCGGGAUGACGGCCUUCGGGUUGUAAACCGCUUUCGCCUGUGACGAAGCGUGAGUGACGGUAAUGGGUAAAGAAGCACCGGCUAACUACGUG